UGAAAGCUAUUCAUUUCCGAGAACAUGCCACGUGUUUCGCAACUAAAAAUGGUAUCAAAGUAACAGUGGAAAAUGCAAAGUGUGUGCAAGCAAAUGCUUUUAUUCAGGGGCAUGGUAUGGUGGCUCACACCUGUAAUUUGCUCAGGAGACCGAGGCUGAAGCACGAAGAUCGCUCGAGCUCAGGCAUUAAAGACCAGCCUGGGUAAUCAUAGUGAGACCCCCGUAUCAAUAAAAAAUCAUAAUAAAAGUUGAAACUAA
RNAcentral lists this small RNA (258 nucleotides) under Pongo abelii (Sumatran orangutan). RNAcentral describes it as "retained intron". Lineage: Eukaryota; Metazoa; Chordata; Mammalia; Primates; Hominidae. The record is from RNAcentral.